RNAcentral lists this ribosomal RNA (436 nucleotides) under uncultured Nitrosomonas sp. Its description in RNAcentral is "bacterial SSU rRNA". It matches the Rfam family "Bacterial small subunit ribosomal RNA", at positions 218 to 646 of the family's 1533-position model. The record is from RNAcentral. Lineage: Bacteria; Pseudomonadati; Pseudomonadota; Betaproteobacteria; Nitrosomonadales; Nitrosomonadaceae.
CUUUUGGAGCGGCCGAUGUCUGAUUAGCUAGUUGGUGAGGUAAUGGCUUACCAAGGCGACGAUCAGUAGUUGGUCUGAGAGGACGACCAGCCACACUGGGACUGAGACACGGCCCAGACUCCUACGGGAGGCAGCAGUGGGGAAUUUUGGACAAUGGGCGCAAGCCUGAUCCAGCCAUGCCGCGUGAGUGAAGAAGGCCUUCGGGUUGUAAAGCUCUUUCAGUCGAAAAGAAAAGAUUGUGACUAAUAAUCGCGAUUCAUGACGGUAUCGGCAGAAGAAGCACCGGCUAACUACGUGCCAGCAGCCGCGGUAAUACGUAGGGUGCAAGCGUUAAUCGGAAUUACUGGGCGUAAAGGGUGCGCAGGCGGUUCUGUAAGUCAGAUGUGAAAUCCCCGGGCUUAACCUGGGAAUUGCGUUUGAAACUACAAAGCUAGAA